UUAGACUUGAGACCGGGAGAGGUUAGAGGUACUCCCAGGGUAGAGGUGAAAUUCUGUAAUCCUGGGAGGACCGCCUGUUGCGAAGGCGUCUAACUGGAACGGUUCUGACGGUGAGGGACGAAAGUUAGGGGCGCGAACCGGAUUAGAUACCCGGGUAGUCCUAACUGUAAACGAUGCGGACUUGGUGUUGGGGUGGCUUUGAGCUGCUCCAGUGCCGAAGGGAAGCUGUUAAGUCCGCCGCCUGGGAAG
RNAcentral lists this ribosomal RNA (249 nucleotides) under uncultured archaeon. RNAcentral's name for it is "partial 16S ribosomal RNA". It matches the Rfam family "Archaeal small subunit ribosomal RNA", at positions 587 to 835 of the family's 1478-position model. The record is from RNAcentral.